RNAcentral lists this ribosomal RNA (497 nucleotides) under uncultured bacterium. RNAcentral describes it as "partial 16S ribosomal RNA". It matches the Rfam family "Bacterial small subunit ribosomal RNA", at positions 28 to 507 of the family's 1533-position model. The record is from RNAcentral.
GAUGAACGCUGGCGGCGUGCCUAAUACAUGCAAGUCGAGCGAACAGACGAGGAGCUUGCUCCUCUGACGUUAGCGGCGGACGGGUGAGUAACACGUGGAUAACCUACCUAUAAGACUGGGAUAACUUCGGGAAACCGGAGCUAAUACCGGAUAAUAUAUUGAACCGCAUGGUUCAAUAGUGAAAGACGGUUUUGCUGUCACUUAUAGAUGGAUCCGCGUCGCAUUAGCGAGUUGGUAAGGUAACGGCUUACCAAGGCAACGAUGCGUAUCCGACCUGAGAGAGUGAUCAGCCACACUGGAACUGAGACACGGUCCAUACUCCUACGGAAGGCAGCAGUAGGGAAUCUUCCGCAGUGGGCGAAAGCCUGACGGAGCAACGCCGCGUGAAUGAUGAAGGUCUUCGGAUCGUAAAACUCUGUUAUUAGGGAAGAACAAAUGUGUAAGUAACUAUGCACGUCUUGACGGUACCUAAUCAGAAAGCCACGGCUAACUACGUG